This 254-nucleotide ribosomal RNA is filed under the name uncultured bacterium. RNAcentral describes it as "partial 16S ribosomal RNA". It matches the Rfam family "Bacterial small subunit ribosomal RNA", at positions 524 to 776 of the family's 1533-position model. The record is from RNAcentral.
UACAGAGACUGCGAGCGUUAUUCGGAUUUACUGGGCGUAAAGGGCGCGUAGGCGGUCAGCACAAGUCAGUUGUGAAAUCUCCGGGCUUAACUCGGAAAGGUCAACUGAUACUGUGCGACUAGAGUGCAGAAGGGGCAACUGGAAUUCUCGGUGUAGCGGUGAAAUGCGUAGAUAUCGAGAGGAACACCUGCGGCGAAGGCGGGUUGCUGGGCUGACACUGACGCUGAUGCGCGAAAGCCAGGGGAGCGAACGGG